Long non-coding RNA from Pseudoliparis swirei, 1176 nucleotides. RefSeq lists it as uncharacterized. The transcript has 4 exons. NCBI's taxonomy places the organism in Eukaryota, Metazoa, Chordata, Actinopteri, Perciformes, Liparidae. The record is from RefSeq and is a predicted model, not a curated record.
UUGAAUAGACUUUUCAAAUAAAGUCAAUUCGGUAACUUGUGAGUAUCUCAACAAACAUCAUAACUAUAAUUUCUAAAUGCAGUCUUUUUUUCAAUCUGAAUUCCAGGUGACACACAAUCAGGCUCCUGCUGUGGCAGUGGACACGGAGACGCCUUUAGACUGGACUACCUCUGAUGGAUGUGACCCAAAUAGAGCUACAGUCAGGUGACACACAAUCAGGCUCCUGCUGUGGCAGUGGACACGGAGACGCCUUUAGACUGGACUACCUCUGAUGGAUGUGACCCAAAUAGAGCUACAGUCAGGUGGUCAACAAUCAGGCUCCUGCUGUCGCAGUGGACAACUCUUCAGAUAUGACUUCCCUUGGCGAAUGUCUCUCAAAUGCAGCUACAGACCAGAGAAACCCACUGCUGUAAAAAGAAACUGGAGACCACAGGAGUGUGCAGCUGUUGAACGACAUUCAAGGAGAUUUAUUGUACUUAACAAAGUUCCUGGGAAAAUGGACUGUCAGCGCUGCAUUUCAGCCGAGCCUCAAGCCCUGAGUGACAGAGACUGGAGAGCAGUCAAGUAUUUCAUUAAAAAUAGAAUAACAUCUCUGAAAAACAAAAUGUUGUAAAAAGUGAAAAGUAGACUAAUGUUGAUAUUUUCUUUGAGGAAAUCCUAUUAAAGUUGUGGGUGGCACUUUAUAAUAAGAACACACUAUUUAACAUUAUUAAAGCAUGAAUACACAUUGAGUUCAUCAUUUAUAAAGCAUUAUUCAAACAUGAAUCCUCAUUAGUAACUCGGUAUGCAAUUCAUUCAUUCACAGUUAUAAAUGUUUAAUUCUUGAUUAAUAAGAGUAGGGUUUCACACUUUAUAAAUGAUGGAUUUGUCAUUUGUAAAUGAAGUAUUAAGGACUUAUAGAUGAUUACGAAAUAAUUUGUAAAGUGUUAGUAAAUUAUUUUAAAAAGCAGCAAUUCAUGAUUAAUUCAGGUAGUUACUACUCAUUAGUUAAGUAUUAGUUAAGCAUGUUCUGUGGACUAAUUUAAAGUGAAGACUAUUUAUGCUUUACAAAGCACUUAUAAGCAGUCUCAAAGCUAGCAUAAGUCUCAGUUAUCUUCUUAACAGAAAAAGGAAAUAGACACAAGACAAAUAUGUGAAUAUGCAUUCACAUAUUUACGUAAAUAUGAUGGUGCUGGG